ACCUUAAUUAUCCUCAACACAUUAUUUACAAGUAGAUUAUGAGGUUCUCAAUGUAUGAUUGGUUUUGAGUCCAUCUGAAUAAUAUAAGAACCAUGAACAUAUCACGAAAGUUGAGGGUGCAUUUUAUAGAUCCAAAAGUUGGGGGGUUACCGGCCACAUACCAGACACCAAACCCUAGUUUAAUAAUAAGAAAUUCUGUACCAUAAACAAGAUAACCAUUUUCAAGCAAUGAUCUUGAUCGUUAUGUACUAUGCACAUCCAACAAGGCCUGCCACUAUAUGCUGAUUAUUGCGAAGCCAACACAUUGGUAUCAUCAAAAAUGAAAAAAGAACAUGCGAGGAGACUGGAACUGCGCGACAUGCCAACGUCUAAACUUCCGCCGGAGAACAAAAUGCUACAGAUGUGGUGAGUCACAUGCUGGCUUAAGCAGGGUCCGCAACAACGCUCCUACGCCUCGGGUAUGUGAAUUUAGGCCUGGAGACUGGUUCUGUGCUGCCGUGGGCUGUCAGGCCCACAACUUUGCCGAUCGUUGCGUCUGCAUCAAAUGUGGCGCACUCAAAAGCAUUCCAUUUUUUUUCGGUGUUGGACACUACACACCUGUGUUUCCUCCCGUGAUUUUCGGUUUUCCUGAUCAAGGGUUUGCAAGAAUCAGUCGGCGAGGGUGGAGGAUUGGAGACUGGUUUUGUGGCCGACGUGACUGCAAUGCACACAAUUAUGGUGACCGAGUGCAAUGUUUCAAGUGCGAUUCACCAAGGGAAUUGGUUGGCAACAUAUCUAACUAAUUUUGUUGCAUCUCAGGUCUGCUGGUUACGGUGUCAAUGAACGAGGGGGUGGUUGUUUUGCAGACGUCUAUGUUAUGUUCUGUUUCUGUUUCUUUUUUUGUUAUGUUGAAGUUUGGAUGAAUUAUGAAGGAUGUAAUUGCAAAUGCUUUUGUUUAUGUUGAAAGAUAAUAUGUGCUUA
Long non-coding RNA from Helianthus annuus (common sunflower), 960 nucleotides. RefSeq lists it as uncharacterized. Lineage: Eukaryota; Viridiplantae; Streptophyta; Magnoliopsida; Asterales; Asteraceae. The record is from RefSeq and is a predicted model, not a curated record. The transcript is spliced from 4 exons.